GACGAACGCUGGCGGCGUGCUUAACACAUGCAAGUCGAACGGAAAGGCCCUGCUUUUGUGGGGUGCUCGAGUGGCGAACGGGUGAGUAACACGUGAGUAACCUGCCCUUGACUUUGGGAUAACUUCAGGAAACUGGGGCUAAUACCGGAUAGGAGCUCCUGCUGCAUGGUGGGGGUUGGAAAGUUUCGGCGGUUGGGGAUGGACUCGCGGCUUAUCAGCUUGUUGGUGGGGUAGUGGCUUACCAAGGCUUUGACGGGUAGCCGGCCUGAGAGGGUGACCGGCCAACUUGGGACUGAGAUACGGCCCAGACUCCUACGGGAGGCAGCAGUGGGGAAUAUUGCACCAUGGGCGGAAGCCUGAUGCAGCAACGCCGCGUGCGGGAUGACGGCCUUCGGGUUGUAAACCGCUUUCGCCUGUGACGAAGCGUGAGUGACGGUAAUGGGUAAAGAAGCACCGGCUAACUACGUG
RNAcentral lists this ribosomal RNA (468 nucleotides) under uncultured bacterium. Its description in RNAcentral is "partial 16S ribosomal RNA". It matches the Rfam family "Bacterial small subunit ribosomal RNA", at positions 28 to 507 of the family's 1533-position model. The record is from RNAcentral.